GAGCGGCGAACGGGUGAGUAACACGUGAGUNACCUGCCCUCAACUUCGGGAUAAGCCUGGGAAACUGGGUCUAAUACCGGGUAGGACCUUCCCUGGCAUCGGGGAUGGUGGAAAGUUUUUCGGUUGGGGAUGGACUCGCGGCCUAUCAGCUUGUUGGUGGGGUAGUGGCCUACCAAGGCGACGACGGGUAGCCGGCCUGAGAGGGCGACCGGCCACACUGGGACUGAGACACGGCCCAGACUCCUACGGGAGGCAGCAGUGGGGAAUAUUGCGCAAUGGGCGAAAGCCUGACGCAGCGACGCCGCGUGGGGGAUGACGGCCUUCGGGUUGUAAACCUCUUUCAGCAGGGACGAAGUUGACGUGUACCUGUAGAAGAAGCGCCGGCUAACUACGUGCCAGCAGCCGCGGUAAUACGUAGGGCGCAAGCGUUGUCCGGAAUUAUUGGGCGUAAAGAGCUCGUAGGUGGCUUGUCACGUCUGCCGUGAAAGCCCGCAGCUUAACUGCGGGUCUGCGGUGGAUACGGGCUGGCUAGAGGUAGGUAGGGGCAAGCGGAAUUCCU
RNAcentral lists this ribosomal RNA (559 nucleotides) under Streptosporangium sp. 413C07. Its description in RNAcentral is "bacterial SSU rRNA". It matches the Rfam family "Bacterial small subunit ribosomal RNA", at positions 93 to 671 of the family's 1533-position model. RNAcentral also lists the same sequence under 1 other name. The record is from RNAcentral. Lineage: Bacteria; Bacillati; Actinomycetota; Actinomycetes; Streptosporangiales; Streptosporangiaceae.